RNAcentral lists this ribosomal RNA (465 nucleotides) under uncultured bacterium. RNAcentral's name for it is "partial 16S ribosomal RNA". It matches the Rfam family "Bacterial small subunit ribosomal RNA", at positions 28 to 507 of the family's 1533-position model. The record is from RNAcentral.
GACGAACGCUGGCGGCGUGCUUAACACAUGCAAGUCGAACGGAAAGGCCCUGCUUGCAGGGUACUCGAGUGGCGAACGGGUGAGUAACACGUGGGUGAUCUGCCCUGCACUUCGGGAUAAGCCUGUGAAACUGGGUCUAAUACCGGAUAGGAGCCAUUUUUAGUGUGAUGGUUGGAAAGUUUUUUCGGUGUAGGAUGAGCUCGCGGCCUAUCAGCUUGUUGGUGGGGUAAUGGCCUACCAAGGCGGCGACGGGUAGCCGGCCUGAGAGGGUGGACGGCCACAUUGGGACUGAGAUACGGCCCAGACUCCUACGGGAGGCAGCAGUGGGGAAUAUUGCACAAUGGGCGCAAGCCUGAUGCAGCGACGCCGCGUGGGGGAUGACGGCCUUCGGGUUGUAAACUCCUUUCGCUAGGGACGAAGCUUUUUGUGACGGUACCUAGAUAAGAAGCACCGGCUAACUACGUG